GAUGAACGCUGACAGAAUGCUUAACACAUGCAAGUCAACUUGAAUUUGGGUUUUUAACUUAGGUUUGGGUGGCGGACGGGUGAGUAACGCGUAAAGAACUUGCCUCACAGCUAGGGACAACAUUUGGAAACGAAUGCUAAUACCUAAUAUUAUGAUAAUAGGGCAUCCUAUAAUUAUGAAAGCUAUAAGCGCUGUGAGAGAGCUUUGCGUCCCAUUAGCUAGUUGGAGAGGUAACGGCUCACCAAGGCGAUGAUGGGUAGCCGGCCUGAGAGGGUGAUCGGCCACAAGGGGACUGAGACACGGCCCUUACUCCUACGGGAGGCAGCAGUGGGGAAUAAUGGACAAUGGACCGAGAGUCUGAUCCAGCAAUUCUGUGUGCACGAUGAAGUUUUUCGGAAUGUAAAGUGCUUUCAGUUGGGAAGAAACAAAUGACGGUACCAACAGAAGAAGUGACGGCUAAAUACGUG
This 467-nucleotide ribosomal RNA is filed under the name uncultured bacterium. RNAcentral describes it as "partial 16S ribosomal RNA". It matches the Rfam family "Bacterial small subunit ribosomal RNA", at positions 28 to 507 of the family's 1533-position model. The record is from RNAcentral.